GAGAGAUGAGCAUGGUUGUUGUGCUCCUAGCUUGAAACUAGGUGGGGGGGGUUCAAUUCCUCCUUCUCUUU
This 71-nucleotide transfer RNA is filed under the name Tarentola mauritanica (Moorish gecko). Its description in RNAcentral is "tRNA-Ser". It matches the Rfam family "tRNA". Rfam says of the family: Transfer RNA (tRNA) molecules are approximately 80 nucleotides in length. Their secondary structure includes four short double-helical elements and three loops (D, anti-codon, and T loops). Lineage: Eukaryota; Metazoa; Chordata; Lepidosauria; Squamata; Phyllodactylidae. The record is from RNAcentral.